Molecule: long non-coding RNA, 729 nt
Organism: Arachis duranensis
Lineage: Eukaryota; Viridiplantae; Streptophyta; Magnoliopsida; Fabales; Fabaceae
Exons: 4
Source: RefSeq, a predicted model, not a curated record
AGGCAGAAAAGUGGGUUUGAAAGGGCUCCACAGUGCUUCAGGAACUCCAACGAAUUAUACAUCUGGGAUUCCCUUGCCUGAUAAGAGGACACUAGAAUUGAUCCUUGACAAGCUUCAAAAGAAGACACUUAUGGUGUGUUUGCAGAGCCGGUUGAUCCAGAAGAGCUCUCCAAUUAUCAAGAUGUGAUUGAGCAUCCCAUGCACUUUGCCACUGUCAGGAAGAAGUUGGCAAAUGGAUCCUAUUCUACUUUGGAGCAAUUUGAGGUGCAUAAGAACUUCUCUUGAUUGUUUGUGAAUUUGUUAUUAGAGGAGCUUUUGUCUUUUGUUUGAGAUUUUUAUUGUUUUGGAAUGUUGUGUGAUCAUGAGCCUGCUUACAAUUCCCAGAAUUGAGUGAGAAUUGAAAUUGAACAUCAGGGACUGGCAGACUGCUUUCUCUCUCGGUUUCUUUUUUUAUUUGGUUACAUUCUCUCUCUUUUCGUUUAGUGGAUUCUUUAAGAUUGGGGAGCUUGUCAGCAAUGUGUCAGCAAAAAAUAUUCGUUGUUUGAAAUUAGAAUGUAAACCCUUUGGACUGGCUUUUUCAUAAUCAAUUACAAUGGUUAUACAUGAUAUUCAAGAAACAUGAUAAUGAACUUACUUUUCUACUAUGGGAUCCCUCUAGGAUCUAGUGCAUGAAAAUCUUGAUUUUUUUUCCUGACUGAGUAAAAAUUGCAAGACAAAAUAUACUGUAAC